Molecule: ribosomal RNA, 688 nt
Filed under: uncultured euryarchaeote
Lineage: Archaea; Methanobacteriati; Methanobacteriota
Description: bacterial SSU rRNA
Rfam family: Archaeal small subunit ribosomal RNA
Source: RNAcentral
UAGGGGGUGUAAUGUACCCUCUAGCCAUCCACGCGUACGGGUGUUGGGAGACAUUGCCCGGAGAUGGAUUCUGAGACACGAAUCCAGACCCUACGGGGUGCAGCAGGCGCGAAAACUUGGCAAUGCGAGAAAUCGUGACCAGGGAACUCCAAGUGGCAGGGGUAAGACCCUGUCUUUUUCCGACUCUAAAUAGGUCGGCGAAUAAGGGGUGGGUAAGGACGGUGCCAGCCGCCGCGGUAAUACCGGCGCCUCAAGUGGUAGUCGCUUUUAUUGGGCCUAAAACGUCCGUAGCCGGUCUGGUACAUUCGUGGGUAAAUCAACUCGCUCAACGAGUUGAAUUCUGCGAGGACGGCCAGACUCGGGACCGGGAGAGGUGUGGGGUACUCUCAGGGUAGGGGUAAAAUCCUGUCAUCCUGAGAGGACCACCUGUUGCGAAGGCUCCACACUAGAACGGAUCCGACGGUCAGGGACGAAGCCUAGGGGCACGAACCGGAUUAGAUACCCGGGUAGUCCUAGGUGUAAACGCUGUGGACUUGAUGUUGGGGACGCUCCGAGCGUUCUCAGUGUCGAAGCGAAGGUGAUAAGUCCACUGCCUGGGGAGUACGGUCGCAAGGCUGAAACUUAAAGGAAUUGGCGGGGGAGCACCGCAACCUGAGGAUUGUGCGGUUUAAUUGGAUUCAACGCCGGG